This is a long non-coding RNA of Cydia amplana, 381 nucleotides long. RefSeq lists it as uncharacterized. The transcript has 4 exons. NCBI's taxonomy places the organism in Eukaryota, Metazoa, Arthropoda, Insecta, Lepidoptera, Tortricidae. The record is from RefSeq and is a predicted model, not a curated record.
AUAAAAAUCACCUAAAAGUAGAAGAUACAGAAGAUGAAGAUAGCGGCGCAGCCGACGAACAGCCGCCUAAAAACACGCGAGUGCUACAAUCGGGUGAUGUAUUAACUCCGCCAGAACUACUACCGUUAGCCAAAAGACUAAUGGCAAAAGUUGACACUCGUGCACCAGGAGAAGGCAAAGGUAUCGUAAGCUCGGCGCGAAGUGCGGAAACUUUGGCAGACACAUUAUUUCAUUCUUUUUGUACGUAUUGCUUUGUUUCAUUAUUUCCUAGAUGGUUUAAUUUGUAUAAAUACAUCCUUAUUGUGAUUACAUAUUGAUACUAUAAAUUAUGUUCCUUGUAGUUAUGACGGUUCGACGCAUUGCGAGGGUAACCAGUAAGUA